This 201-nucleotide ribosomal RNA is filed under the name Glomeromycota sp. RNAcentral's name for it is "partial small subunit ribosomal RNA". It matches the Rfam family "Eukaryotic small subunit ribosomal RNA", at positions 547 to 762 of the family's 1831-position model. The record is from RNAcentral. Lineage: Eukaryota; Fungi; Glomeromycota.
UUUGGAGGGCAAGUCUGGUGCCAGCAGCCGCGGUAAUUCCAGCUCCAAUAGCGUAUAUUAAAGUUGUUGCAGUUAAAAAGCUCGUAGUUGAACUUUGGGCUUGGUCAGCCGGUCCGCUUUUUUGCGUGUACUGGUCCUGACCGAGCCUUUCCUUCUGGCUAACCUGUCUCUCGGGGCAGGCGAACCAGGACUAAUGUGAAG